UACAGAGGUCUCAAGCGUUGUUCGGAUUUAUUGGGCGUAAAGGGCGCGUAGGCGGCGGGGUAAGUCGGGUGUGAAAUCUCAGGGCUCAACCCUGAAACUGCACUUGAUACUGCUCUGCUUGAGGACUGGAGAGGAGACUGGAAUUCACGGUGUAGCAGUGAAAUGCGUAGAUAUCGUGAGGAAGACCAGUGGCGAAGGCGGGUCACUGGCCCGGUACUGACGCUGAGGUGCGAAAGCGUGGGGAGCAAACAGG
Molecule: ribosomal RNA, 253 nt
Filed under: uncultured bacterium
Lineage: Bacteria
Description: partial 16S ribosomal RNA
Rfam family: Bacterial small subunit ribosomal RNA
Source: RNAcentral